This 433-nucleotide ribosomal RNA is filed under the name uncultured bacterium. RNAcentral's name for it is "partial 16S ribosomal RNA". It matches the Rfam family "Bacterial small subunit ribosomal RNA", at positions 29 to 507 of the family's 1533-position model. The record is from RNAcentral.
AACGAACGCUGGCGGCAGGCUUAACACAUGCAAGUCGAGCGGGCCCUUCGGGGUCAGCGGCCGACGGGUGAGUAACACGUGGGAACGUACCUUUUGGUUCGGAACAACUCCGGGAAACUGGAGCUAAUACCGGAUAAGCCCUUAGGGGGAAAGAUUUAUCGCCAAAAGAUCGGCCCGCGUCUGAUUAGCUAGUUGGUGGGGUAACGGCCCACCAAGGCGACGAUCAGUAGCUGGUCUGAGAGGAUGAUCAGCCACACUGGGACUGAGACACGGCCCAGACUCCUACGGGAGGCAGCAGUGGGGAAUAUUGGACAAUGGGCGCAAGCCUGAUCCAGCCAUGCCGCGUGAGUGAUGAGGGCCUUAGGGUUGUAAAGCUCUUUUGUCCGGGAAGAUAAUGACUGUACCGGAAGAAUAAGCCCCGGCUAACUUCGUG